This 563-nucleotide long non-coding RNA is filed under the name Numida meleagris (helmeted guineafowl). RNAcentral describes it as "lncRNA (ENSNMEG00000016289.1)". Lineage: Eukaryota; Metazoa; Chordata; Aves; Galliformes; Numididae. The record is from RNAcentral.
GUUGUUAAACUGCAAUCAAAAGCACUUAGUAGGAAUGGAUCUGUACCUAUUAUGAGAUUUGAACUCCCGACAUCUUAAUCCACUGGAACUUGAGUGCCCAGGACACACCAGAGAGGGGAUUUUGAGAUUGCUUUUCAAGCACUGUGGCUGUGAGCCAGUUACAGCAUGAGGAAAAGCCCUCCAACACCCCAAUGUACAGGAAAGAGAAGACAGAUGACAGUAGCUGUCCUCCUUCAAUACUGAGGAAAAGGCCACCUGUGGACCAGGCUGUGGGGGAAAAGCGGAAAGCAGAGAGGAGGGUUCGAUUUCGUGAACCAGAAGAAGUCAUUGAACAUGUUAUUUCCUGCUGUGACUACGUAGUGGUGCAUGACAGGUCAUCACCUGGAUUGCCUGUGCUCCUGGGGCUCUUCUUUUGUGUGGUGCUGAUCCUGGCUGUGAGUCUCUACUACACCAGCAUGAAGCAAGAUACCAAAGUCCUGGAGGAGUUUCAAUCCCAACUUGUCAUCUUCUUUCUUCAGAUAAGACGCAUUGCUCACAAAUGCUGGACUUGGUUUACAAGGUAG